This 372-nucleotide ribosomal RNA is filed under the name uncultured organism. RNAcentral's name for it is "bacterial SSU rRNA". It matches the Rfam family "Bacterial small subunit ribosomal RNA", at positions 526 to 896 of the family's 1533-position model. The record is from RNAcentral.
CGGAGGGUGCGAGCGUUGUCCGGAAUCACUGGGCGUAAAGGGCGCGUAGGUGGCGUCGCAAGUCAACGGUGAAAGCUCGGCGCUCAACGCCGAGUCGGCCGUCGAAACUGCGAGGCUCGAGCACUGUAGAGGCAGAUGGAAUUCCGGGUGUAGCGGUGGAAUGCGUAGAGAUCCGGAAGAACACCGGUGGCGAAGGCGGUCUGCUGGGCAGGUGCUGACACUGAGGCGCGACAGCGUGGGGAGCAAACAGGAUUAGAUACCCUGGUAGUCCACGCCGUAAACGAUGGGCACUAGAUGCUUGGGGGAGCGACCCCCUGAGUGUCGUCGCUAACGCAGUAAGUGCCCCGCCUGGGGAGUACGGCCGCAAGGCUG